GUGGAGCCGGCGAGAGAGUGGCAGCGGGGGCUGAUGGAAGUGCAGUGGGGGCUGGAGAGGGCACCCUACUGUAUCCAGCAUGCUCCAAGGCCACAGCUCUGUGUUCCAGGCCUUGCUGGGGACCUUCUUCACCUGGGGGAUGACAGCAGCUGGGGCAGCUCUCGUGUUCGUAUUCUCUAGUGGACAGAGGCGGAUCUUAGAUGGAAGUCUUGGCUUUGCUGCAGGGGAGGCUGGGAGAAAUGAAAGACCCUGAGAUGACCUCCCUGGGAUGGUGACCUCCCAGGGAUAAAGGAGAGAGCCAGAGAGUGCUUGGACCAAGAGCAGAUCCGUCCCCAGCAUCACUCAGGCCUGACUUCCUAGGCCUGACCUUGGAAGUUUUGGGACAGUUGUCUACGAUUUCCAAUGUCAUUAUCCACAGUGUGGGGGAGGAAGUGAUACACAUCACCUUCUCUGUGCCGUGAUGGGAAGUAACAGCCUUUGUCUUGACGCAUGAGCCCACGUGUAUGCUGUUGCUCUGUUGAGCAUCUGGGGUGGUGUGGCUCUGAGGCCUGCCCAGAGCCCUGCAAACAGUCCCUGUCUGUCCCCAUCCCUUUCCCCCUUCCUCCCCACGUUCAUACUCUGACUGCGUGAGUGAGUAUCUGGCGCCCCUGCCUCCCCUCCUACCCUU
This 667-nucleotide long non-coding RNA is filed under the name Homo sapiens (human). RNAcentral's name for it is "non-protein coding lnc-FAM104A-4:2". The record is from RNAcentral. Lineage: Eukaryota; Metazoa; Chordata; Mammalia; Primates; Hominidae.